RNAcentral lists this ribosomal RNA (253 nucleotides) under uncultured bacterium. Its description in RNAcentral is "partial 16S ribosomal RNA". It matches the Rfam family "Bacterial small subunit ribosomal RNA", at positions 524 to 776 of the family's 1533-position model. The record is from RNAcentral.
UACGGAGGGUGCAAGCGUUAUCCGGAUUCACUGGGUUUAAAGGGUGCGUAGGCGGGCAGGUAAGUCAGAGGUGAAAUCUCCGGGCUUAACCCGGAAACUGCCUUUGAUACUAUCUGUCUUGAGUAUGGUGGAGGUAAGCGGAAUAUGUCAUGUAGCGGUGAAAUGCUUAGAGAUGACAUAGAACACCUAUUGCGAAGGCAGCUUACUACGCCUAUAUUGACGCUGAGGCACGAAAGCGUGGGGAUCAAACAGG